RNAcentral lists this unclassified non-coding RNA (437 nucleotides) under fungal sp. Its description in RNAcentral is "partial internal transcribed spacer region". Lineage: Eukaryota; Fungi. The record is from RNAcentral.
AAGUCGUAACAAGGUUUCCACCUGCGGAAGGAUCAUUAACACGUAUCCAACGUUAAACCCCCCCGUGAACGUACAAUCUGUUGCUUCUCCGGUAACGCGAAACAAUGGUUGCAAUCCCUGGUAAAUCAUCGCCGAACAGUUUUGAUUCAGGGACUUCAAGCACGUUACUGUCCUGAUAAAAGAGGAGUCCCCAGCCCUGGUGGGUGGGUUCGACUAUCCGGUAUGGCGUGCUUUCGAUGUUGCAAAAAUAAACAUAAUCAGGGGGUUGUGAAAGUGUUCAACCUGCUUAUGUUUAUCUUUGUAAAGUAGAAAGGUCACAAGAUGCUGUAAGAUAGACAGCCAUUGUUAACAGUUGUUCGUUAUCUCCACGACCCUUUCAAGUGUGGAGUGAUUGAGCCUUCCGUUUUGCAGGACACCAGGGACGUGUACUCGUUCCA